ACACUAAAUACAAACAAGUCUUUAUUUUCCUCUGUCUUUUUGAUGGUUACAAGCAAUAGUUUAGGUUAUAAUCAAGUAAAAAUAGUCUGUUAUCAGGUAUACUAUAUAGAGAAGUAGAGACAGGUAGGAAAAAAUCCUCUCUGUACACAGAUAGCAGUGUUUGCACAGUGCUAGAAAAAGGCAAGGCUGGAUGAAGCCAAAAUAGUGGAAGAGGGUGGAAAUUAAUCAAUUCACAGAAAUCCAGAUGUUCUGCAUACUCGGAGCCAAGUCUCUGCAUCCUGACUGCCAGAGAUUUUCAUGUUUCCUCCAGAUGUCUGCUUUCAGGUAGAGAUUGUCAUCUCACGUGAUUUACUGUACAACUCUUGGUGUUCAUCAUACUCUAUUUCACAUGAUGUAUUUGAGUAGAUCUAGCCUCUAAAA
Molecule: long non-coding RNA, 420 nt
Filed under: Bos taurus (domestic cattle)
Lineage: Eukaryota; Metazoa; Chordata; Mammalia; Artiodactyla; Bovidae
Description: long non-coding RNA NONBTAT025076
Source: RNAcentral